AUCCGCCUGGGAAGUACGAACGCAAGUUUAAAACUCAAAGGAAUAGACGGGGACUCGCACAAGCGGUGGAGCAUGUGGUUCAAUUCGACGGUAAACGAAGAACCUUACCGGGGCUUGAAAUCUCAACGAUAAGUCCGCUGAAAAGCGGGCGUCUCACAAGGACGUUGGGACAGGUGUUGCAUGGCUGUCGUCAGUUCGUGGCGUGAGCUGUUCCCUUAAGUGGGGUAACGAACGCAACCCUUGUCUUGUGUUAUAUGUGUCACAAGAGACCGCCCCAGCCCAAAGCGAAUUUAGAAACUAAGUUUCCAUUGGAAACUUAGUUUCUAAAUAAAUUCGUUUUGGGCUGGGGAGGAAGCGAGGAUGACGCCAAGUCAGCAUGACCCUUUGAUGCCCCGGGCUACACACGUGCUACAAUGCUUUCUACAAUGAGUCGCGAAACCGUAAGGCGGAGCCAAUCUCAUCAAAAGAAAGCCCAGUUCAGAUUGAGGUCUGCAACUCGACCUCAUGAAGACGGAAUCGCUAGUAAUCGCAGGUCAGCUAUACUGCGGUGAAUACGUUCUCGAGUCUUGUACUCACCGCCCGUCAACUCAAGGAAGUCUUGAAUACCCGAAGGCCUCGCUAAGCGGGGGAUAAGGUAAUUGAGAUGACAGGGAGUAAGUCGUAACAAGGCACGGCUAGCGGAAGCUG
This 687-nucleotide ribosomal RNA is filed under the name Candidatus Giovannonibacteria bacterium RIFCSPLOWO2_01_FULL_44_40. RNAcentral's name for it is "bacterial SSU rRNA". It matches the Rfam family "Bacterial small subunit ribosomal RNA", at positions 867 to 1514 of the family's 1533-position model. The record is from RNAcentral. Lineage: Bacteria; Candidatus Giovannoniibacteriota.